ACGAACGCUGGCGGCGUGCUUAACACAUGCAAGUCGAACGGAAAGGCCCUGCUUUUGUGGGGUGCUCGAGUGGCGAACGGGUGAGUAACACGUGAGUAACCUGCCCUUGACUUUGGGAUAACUUCAGGAAACUGGGGCUAAUACCGGAUAGGAGCUCCUGCUGCAUGGUGGGGGUUGGAAAGUUUCGGCGGUUGGGGAUGGACUCGAGGCUUAUCAGCUUGUUGGUGGGGUAGUGGCUUACCAAGGCUUUGACGGGUAGCCGGCCUGAGAGGGUGACCGGCCACAUUGGGACUGAGAUACGGCCCAGACUCCUACGGGAGGCAGCAGUGGGGAAUAUUGCACAAUGGGCGGAAGCCUGAUGCAGCAACGCCGCGUGCGGGAUGACGGCCUUCGGGUUGUAAACCGCUUUCGCCUGUGACGAAGCGUGAGUGACGGUAAUGGGUAAAGAAGCACCGGCUAACUACGUG
This 467-nucleotide ribosomal RNA is filed under the name uncultured bacterium. RNAcentral's name for it is "partial 16S ribosomal RNA". It matches the Rfam family "Bacterial small subunit ribosomal RNA", at positions 29 to 507 of the family's 1533-position model. The record is from RNAcentral.